UAUAUAGCACACCCAGGGUGCUUGCGACCUCCUGUUUCCGACAUGUCGAGACUUGCUUGCUUGCUUGCAUGUUUCCAACUGAGUGUCAUUCAAUGUUGUAUGUCUGGGAUGUAUAAAACAGAUCCAGCAUUGAUUAGACGUUUGACCAAGCAAAGAACCUUCAUUAUAAAACUGAGCUCAAAAAAUGUUGGAAUGGAACUGAUUAUUACAACGCAUGGUUUAGGUCACUUGGGUGAAGCCAAGAUGGAAGCAAACGGCGUACAAACUCUUCAGGUUACUCGGAUAAAAAGUUUGGCAAUGGGUUGCAGUUGCAGCCAUACAAGUUGGUUAAUUUCAAAAUGUGGAAUUUGGACUUAUUUUAUCGAGCCUGAUUAGCUCUACCUUUUCAUUAAAAAUGGAAUUAAUUUGAUCAACCUCGUCAUCUAUUUAAGGAUUGGAUUACUAUAUAUAGUUUAAUGGAAUUUAUGGAUGUAUGAAUUUAUCCUUGGCAUUGUUAAUGGAUUGUUAAAAUCAUGGAUGGAAAUAAGGAUGUAAUGGUUUGUGGAUAUUUGGCUAUUAUAAAGAGAAAGAAGUUGAAGUAUUUCUAUGGAAAAAAUGAAGAUAUACUUGGAUUAAUUAUGCAGAUCCGAUUAAAGAAACGUUGUUACAAGCACUUCUGUGUGGACAAACGUAUAUCCCUUGACUAAGACAGAGAUUCGUUGCAUUAUCAAGUCGUCUGGUAAAGCAAACAAUUUUGAUAAUUCUAUGACCAUUUGUCAGUCCAUUCUGAAUUUUGCGUUCUCUGAACAAACAAUCAUGAACAAGCGAUCAAAUCGCGUUAAUCUUACUCAAUAUUAUGGACGGGCGCUUGCAAGAGCGGGAGAUAUAACAAACAACAGAAGAAGGCGAAAUAAUUGGAACUUUGACGAAAUGAUAACGUUGACUAGCUGUGCUUCAUUUGGACUCACAAGUUUGGGGUUGUUUUUUUUCUGUCAGUUUUUACACAGAAAAUUUCUCAAGAAUGAAUAAUGGGAGCAUGGGAUACUUGUGAUGUUUUUCUUAUUUGUUGGAUGCGCCAUUUUGUGAAAUUAAAGUUGGAUUGGAACAUUAGACGGUUGAGCAGAGGUACCACCAAGAAAAAAAAUGAUUUAUGACUUCUAUACAUAACAUAAUUAUUGACUUAAAUUCAGCUGUUCAAACACAUCUGACAUGGCAUGUGCCAUUCUCUAGACGAUUGCUCUUGGCCUUCGGGAUGGAAGUUAGAUGACUGUAGCAUUGUGUAACCAAAUUUGGCCAUCGCAUGAAUGUGUGCCCAAAUAUGGACAUUGUAUUGUAUUGAUAUGUAGCUAUUUACACAGAGCUAUGCUGAGACCUCCAAAGUUCUCAGUAAAUAUUUGGUUCUAAUUUGGUAGUUGCUCGUCGCUAUACCAUACACAACAAAUGACGGAUGUUAUGGAGGGUUGCAUUCGUGCAAAACGUUUUGUGGUCGAUUUUCAUCCACCUCAUAAAUAAAAGAAAAGAUAUAUUUUGACUAUUUCACAUCCACCACUUGUAUGGUAUAACGAUAGGCAAGGACCACAUGCAACCAUGCGCCAAAUGUCGCAAUCGUCGGUAGAAUUUCGGUAAAAUCGUCGGUUCAAUUUUAAACCUCUUCACUUUUUUUUGGGUUGAUUAAAAACGUAAAAACUUCGAAAUUCUUCCGCAACGGAAAACGUGAUAAAAAAAUUCCAAACUUUUCCCUCCUUCAAUUGGUAAAGAUCCUUUAUCGUGACAAGUCAAAUUUAUCUUGCAUAUUUGAAUAUUUUUCUACACAAUUUUCAACAGAAAAAUCGGGUUGACCCGUCGCAUACUAUAAUAGUUCAUGGGAAAAUCCCUUAAGAAAAAAUAUCAAAUUUCAGCAGGGAUUGUUUAGAAUUCUGCCUACUUGCAAAAUGGCAUCGUCUGGUUAUAUAUAAUAUGCAUAUACCAUAAUGAUGGGAACCUGCAAAACCGACAAGAAAGGAUAUAAUUUGUAUAUUAAAUAGGGGAUGUGGAUAACUAAAUAAGGAGUACUAACUUAAACUUUGUUGUAAAUUUAUAGUAAUUUAUGUAUACAUGGGAGCACAUAGUGUAUCGUAGGUUUUUGUACAGGGAAAUGGUGUAAAAAUUGGGAUUUUAUAUAUAUAUUAAAAUUUGUACAUAAUUAAUCAUCAAAGAUAUAAAGGCAUGUAUAUAAUUCUACCUUCAGUUGCAUGGGGAAAGAAUUGUUAAUUAUUUAUAACACUUCUUGUAAAGUAAUAAGGUUUUUGGAAAAUCGGGGAAUACAAAGUGUGUGUUUUAUA
Dendronephthya gigantea is the source of this 2300-nucleotide long non-coding RNA. RefSeq lists it as uncharacterized. Lineage: Eukaryota; Metazoa; Cnidaria; Anthozoa; Malacalcyonacea; Nephtheidae. The record is from RefSeq and is a predicted model, not a curated record. The transcript is spliced from 3 exons.